RNAcentral lists this ribosomal RNA (438 nucleotides) under uncultured bacterium. Its description in RNAcentral is "partial 16S ribosomal RNA". It matches the Rfam family "Bacterial small subunit ribosomal RNA", at positions 29 to 507 of the family's 1533-position model. The record is from RNAcentral.
AACGAACGCUGGCGGCAUGCCUAACACAUGCAAGUCGAACGAGACCUUCGGGUCUAGUGGCGCACGGGUGCGUAACGCGUGGGAACCUGCCCUUAGGUUCGGAAUAACUCCCCGAAAGGGGUGCUAAUACCGGAUAAUGUCUUCGGACCAAAGAUUUAUCGCCUUUGGAUGGGCCCGCGUUGGAUUAGCUAGUUGGUAGGGUAAAAGCCUACCAAGGCGACGAUCCAUAGCUGGUCUGAGAGGAUGAUCGGCCACACUGGGACUGAGACACGGCCCAGACGCGUCCGGGAGGGAGGGGUGGGGGGGAGUAUAUAAUAGACGGGAGCAAGAUCUAGCAACGCAGCGCGCGGGAUGAGGGGCGGCCGUUUGGGUAGUAAUUUCGUUUUCCCCGAAGUGUGAAUGACGGUACGGGGUAAAGAAGCCCCGGCUAACUCCGUG